CACUCCUGCGGGAGGCAGCAGUGGGGAAUAUUGGACAAUGGGCGCAAGCCUGAUCCAGCCAUGCCGCGUGAGUGAUGAAGGCCCUAGGGUUGUAAAGCUCUUUCACCGGUGAAGAUAAUGACGGUAACCGGAGAAGAAGCCCCGGCUAACUUCGUGCCAGCAGCCGCGGUAAUACGAAGGGGGCUAGCGUUGUUCGGAUUUACUGGGCGUAAAGCGCACGUAGGCGGACUAUUAAGUCAGGGGUGAAAUCCCGGGGCUCAACCCCGGAACUGCCUUUGAUACUGGUAGUCUUGAGUUCGAGAGAGGUGAGUGGAAUUCCGAGUGUAGAGGUGAAAUUCGUAGAUAUUCGGAGGAACACCAGUGGCGAAGGCGGCUCACUGGCUCGACACUGACGCUGAGGUGCGAAAGCGUGGGGAGCAAACAGGAUUAGAAACCCGUGUAGUCCCA
This 447-nucleotide ribosomal RNA is filed under the name uncultured organism. RNAcentral describes it as "partial 16S ribosomal RNA". It matches the Rfam family "Bacterial small subunit ribosomal RNA", at positions 334 to 797 of the family's 1533-position model. The record is from RNAcentral.